UGUACCCGCUGAACUUAAGCAUAUCAAUAAGCGGAGGAAAAGAAACCAACAGGGAUUGCCCUAGUAACGGCGAGUGAAGCGGCAACAGCUCAAAUUUGAAAUCUGGCUCUUUCAGGGUCCGAGUUGUAAUUUGUAGAGGGUGCUUUGGAGUUGACUGUGGUCUAAGUUCCUUGGAACAGGACGUCGCAGAGGGUGAGAAUCCCGUAUGUGGCCGCCAGUCUUCUCCGUGUAAAGCCCCUUCGACGAGUCGAGUUGUUUGGGAAUGCAGCUCUAAAUGGGAGGUAAAUUUCUUCUAAAGCUAAAUAUUGGCCAGAGACCGAUAGCGCACAAGUAGAGUGAUCGAAAGAUGAAAAGCACUUUGGAAAGAGAGUCAAAAAGCACGUGAAAUUGUUGAAAGGGAAGCGCUUGCAGCCAGACUUGCCUGUAGUUGCUCAUCCGGGCUUUUGCCCGGUGCACUCUUCUAUAGGCAGGCCAGCAUCAGUCGCGGCGGUUGGAUAAAUGUCUGCACAAUGUACCUCUCCUCGGGGAGGACUUAUAGGGCAGGCGGCAUACAACCAGCUGCGAUUGAGGUCCGCGCAUCUGCUAGGAUGCUGGCGUAAUGGCUGUAAGCGGCCCGUCUUGAAACACGGACCAAGGAGUCUAACAUCUAUGCGAGUGUUUGGGUGUCAAGCCCGAGCGCGUAAUGAAAGUGAACGGAGGUGGGAACCCCUCGGGGUGCACCAUCGACCGAUCCUGAUGUCUUCGGAUGGAUUUGAGUAAGAGCAUAGCUGUUGGGACCCGAAAGAUGGUGAACUAUGCCUGAAUAGGGUGAAGCCAGAGGAAACUCUGGUGGAGGCUCGCAGCGGUUCUGACGUGCAAAUCGAUCGUCAAAUUUGGGCAUAGGGGCGAAAGACUAAUCGAACUAUCUAGUAGCUGGUUCCUGCCGAAGUUUCCCUCAGGAUAGCAGUAACGUUUUCAGUUUUAUGAGGUAAAGCGAAUGAUUAGAGGCCUGGGGGUUGAAACAACCUUCACCUAUUCUCAAACUUUAAAUAUGUAAGAAGUCCUUGUUACUUAAUUGAACGUGGACAUUUGAAUGUACCGUUACUAGUGGGCCAUUUUUGGUAAGCAGAACUGGCGA
Molecule: ribosomal RNA, 1117 nt
Filed under: Sporormiella lignicola
Lineage: Eukaryota; Fungi; Ascomycota; Dothideomycetes; Pleosporales; Sporormiaceae
Description: Preussia lignicola partial large subunit ribosomal RNA
Rfam family: Eukaryotic large subunit ribosomal RNA
Source: RNAcentral